This 515-nucleotide ribosomal RNA is filed under the name uncultured bacterium. RNAcentral's name for it is "partial 16S ribosomal RNA". It matches the Rfam family "Bacterial small subunit ribosomal RNA", at positions 28 to 523 of the family's 1533-position model. The record is from RNAcentral.
GAUGAACGCUGGCGGCGUGCCUAAUACAUGCAAGUCGAGCGAAUGGAUUGAGAGCUUGCUCUUAUGAAGUUAGCGGCGGACGGGUGAGUAACACGUGGGUAACCUGCCCAUAAGACUAGGAUAACUCCGGGAAACCGGGGCUAAUACCGGAUAACAUUUUGAACCGCAUGGUUCGAAAUUGAAAGGCGGCUUCGGCUGUCACUUAUGGAUGGACCCGCGUCGCAUUAGCUAGUUGGUGAGGUAACGGCUAACCAAGGCAACGAUGCGUAGCCGACCUGAGAGGGUGAUCGGCCACACUGGGACUGAGACACGGCCCAGACUCCUACGGGAGGCAGCAGUAGGGAAUCUUCCGCAAUGGACGAAAGUCUGACGGAGCAACGCCGCGUGAGUGAUGAAGGCUUUCGGGUCGUAAAACUCUGUUGUUAGGGAAGAACAAGUGCUAGUUGAAUAAGCUGGCACCUUGACGGUACCUAACCAGAAAGCCACGGCUAACUACGUGCCAGCCGCCGCCGUAA